Molecule: ribosomal RNA, 452 nt
Filed under: uncultured organism
Description: partial 16S ribosomal RNA
Rfam family: Bacterial small subunit ribosomal RNA
Source: RNAcentral
ACGUACACUCCUACGGGAGGCAGCAGUGGGGAAUAUUGGACAAUGGGCGCAAGCCUGAUCCAGCCAUGCCGCGUGAGUGAUGAAGGCCCUAGGGUUGUAAAGCUCUUUCACCGGAGAAGAUAAUGACGGUAUCCGGAGAAGAAGCCCCGGCUAACUUCGUGCCAGCAGCCGCGGUAAUACGAAGGGGGCUAGCGUUGUUCGGAAUUACUGGGCGUAAAGCGCACGUAGGCGGAUCGAUCAGUCAGGGGUGAAAUCCCAGGGCUCAACCCUGGAACUGCCUUUGAUACUGUCGAUCUGGAGUAUGGAAGAGGUGAGUGGAAUUCCGAGUGUAGAGGUGAAAUUCGUAGAUAUUCGGAGGAACACCAGUGGCGAAGGCGGCUCACUGGUCCAUUACUGACGCUGAGGUGCGAAAGCGUGGGGAGCAAACAGGAUUAGAUACCCUUGUAGUCCCA